RNAcentral lists this ribosomal RNA (660 nucleotides) under uncultured bacterium. Its description in RNAcentral is "bacterial SSU rRNA". The stretch from base 1 to 545 matches the Rfam family "Bacterial small subunit ribosomal RNA", at positions 338 to 873 of the family's 1533-position model. The record is from RNAcentral.
CCUACGGGAGGCAGCAGUAGGGAAUCUUCCGCAGUGGACGAAAGUCUGACGGAGCAACGCCGCGUGAGUGAAGAAGGUUUUCGGAUCGUAAAACUCUGUUGUUAGGGAAGAACAAGUACGAGAGUAACUGCUCGUACCUUGACGGUACCUAACCAGAAAGCCACGGCUAACUACGUGCCAGCAGCCGCGGUAAUACGUAGGUGGCAAGCGUUGUCCGGAAUUAUUGGGCGUAAAGCGCGCGCAGGCGGUCUUUUAAGUCUGAUGUGAAAGCCCCCGGCUCAACCGGGGAGGGUCAUUGGAAACUGGAGGACUUGAGUGCAGAAGAGGAGAGCGGAAUUCCACGUGUAGCGGUGAAAUGCGUAGAGAUGUGGAGGAACACCAGUGGCGAAGGCGGCUCUCUGGUCUGUAACUGACGCUGAGGCGCGAAAGCGUGGGGAGCGAACAGGAUUAGAUACCCUGGUAGUCCACGCCGUAAACGAUGAGUGCUAAGUGUUAGAGGGUUUCCGCCCUUUAGUGCUGCAGCUACGCAUUAAGACACCUCCGCCGUCGGGGUAGGGUACGGGUUCCGGCGAAGACGUAGAAACCGUACCGAAAGGAAAGUUAGGUACGGGCGUGAGACGUCGACCCGAACGGACGACCGACCGACGGGGAGGGUUAGGG